GGGCUCGUGGCGGAAUUGGCAGACGCGCUAGGUUGAGGGCCUAGUGUCCGCUUUAGGACGUGCUGGUUCGACUCCAGUCGGGCCCA
This 86-nucleotide transfer RNA is filed under the name Blastopirellula marina. RNAcentral's name for it is "tRNA-Leu". It matches the Rfam family "tRNA". From Rfam's summary of the family: Transfer RNA (tRNA) molecules are approximately 80 nucleotides in length. Their secondary structure includes four short double-helical elements and three loops (D, anti-codon, and T loops). Further hydrogen bonds mediate the characteristic L-shaped molecular structure. tRNAs have two regions of fundamental functional importance: the anti-codon, which is responsible for specific mRNA codon recognition, and the 3' end, to which the tRNAs corresponding amino acid is attached (by aminoacyl-tRNA synthetases). tRNAs cope with the degeneracy of the genetic code in two manners: having more than one tRNA (with a specific anti-codon) for a particular amino acid; and 'wobble' base-pairing, i.e. permitting non-standard base-pairing at the 3rd anti-codon position. The record is from RNAcentral. Lineage: Bacteria; Pseudomonadati; Planctomycetota; Planctomycetia; Pirellulales; Pirellulaceae. RNAcentral also lists the same sequence under 6 other names.